UACGUAGGGUGCGAGCGUUAAUCGGAAUUACUGGGCGUAAAGCGUGCGCAGGCGGUUCGUUAAGUCAGAUGUGAAAGCCCCGGGCUCAACCUGGGGACUGCAUCUGAAACUGGCGGGCUUGAGUGUGGCAGAGGGGGGUGGAAUUCCGCGUGUAGCAGUGAAAUGCGUAGAGAUGCGGAGGAACACCGAUGGCGAAGGCAGCCCCCUGGGCCAACACUGACGCUCAGGCACGAAAGCGUGGGGAGCAAACAGG
This 253-nucleotide ribosomal RNA is filed under the name uncultured bacterium. Its description in RNAcentral is "partial 16S ribosomal RNA". It matches the Rfam family "Bacterial small subunit ribosomal RNA", at positions 524 to 776 of the family's 1533-position model. The record is from RNAcentral.